GCUUACGGCCAUACCACCCUGAACACGCCCGAUCUCGUCUGAUCUCGGAAGCUAAGCAGGGCCGGGCCUGGUCAGUACUUGGAUGGGAGACCGCCUGGGAAAACCAGGUGCCGUAAGCU
RNAcentral lists this ribosomal RNA (119 nucleotides) under Oreochromis niloticus (Nile tilapia). Lineage: Eukaryota; Metazoa; Chordata; Actinopteri; Cichliformes; Cichlidae. The record is from RNAcentral.